CUUGGAUAUAGAAAGCUCGUGUUUUCGGAGCCAUUCAUGUAAUCCUUCAGAAGCUGAGGAUGAUACUCUAAUAUCUCACGGAAUAUAAGUUCCUUGAUAUCAUCUUUGGUAACCUUUCUUCGCUCAAACUCAAACUCCAUUUUUGAAAUUGGUUGGCAUGAUGGUUCUCUCUCCACUUUUGCAAGGCCUUUAAAAUAUGGAUCAGCCAAUGCCUCUUCUGCAGUAGGUCGAUCCUUCGGAUCAAAUGCUAGAAGCCUUUGUAAGAGCUUGAGUGCCAAAGGAUCUACAUUUGGGAACUUUUCUGAAAAAGGUACUGGCUGCUUCCUCCUCAUGCUGCUCAGAUACCUCCUUGCCUUGUCAUUCCGAAUCUGAAGCACAUCCAUUGAUGGUGUACCCAAGAGAUCAGUCAUCAAGUCCAAUUGAUGAACCACAUUUUUACCAGGGAACAAAGGUUUUCCAGUCAAAAUCUCCGCAAAAAUGCAACCAAUACUCCAUGUUGGGAAAUUUGAUUAUACCUUAGAAAAGAAAGACCCACACAGCUCAGGAGCCCUGUACCAUCUAGUUGCAACGUAGUCCUGUUGCAUGAAAACUGUUGUAGGAGUGUCAUUAAAUGCAACUCUUGCUAGUCCAAAAUCACAUAUCUUGAGCUUACAGUUAGCAUUUGCUAAUAUAUUUUUGGGCUUUAAAUCACGAUGAUAAACAUUAGCAGUAUGGAUAUAUUUCAAUGCUCGAAGCAUUUGAUACAGAAAGAACUGAUGAUGUUCCUUCGUUAAGUCAUCAUUAGCCUUAAUAACCUGGUGGAGGUCUGUAUCCAUCAGUUCGAAGACAACAUAAAUAUCUUUGAAGUCCCUUCUAGAUGGAGGUAACAUUAUAUGUUUGAUCUCGACAAUAUCAGGAUGCCGUAAAAGCCGGAGAAGUUUGAUCUCACGGAGGAUCCUAGCAGCAUCAGAUAGAUGCUCAAAGAUAUUGUGUAUUUUCUUGAUUGCUACUUUGUCACCGGUAUGUUGGUCAAUAGCUGAACAAACAACUCCAUAACUUCCUUUACCAACGAUUUCUUGAAUUUUGUAUCGGCUGGAGUCACCAUAUUCACUGAAGAAAUCCAUCUCUGUUG
RNAcentral lists this small RNA (1111 nucleotides) under Oryza sativa Japonica Group (Japanese rice). RNAcentral's name for it is "sRNA Os05g0566450". Lineage: Eukaryota; Viridiplantae; Streptophyta; Magnoliopsida; Poales; Poaceae. The record is from RNAcentral.